Molecule: ribosomal RNA, 475 nt
Filed under: uncultured bacterium
Lineage: Bacteria
Description: bacterial SSU rRNA
Rfam family: Bacterial small subunit ribosomal RNA
Source: RNAcentral
ACUCCUACGGGAGGCAGCAGUAGGGAAUCUUCCACAAUGGACGAAAGUCUGAUGGGGCAACGCCGCGUGAGUGAAGAAGGGUUUCGGCUCGUAAAAACUCUGUUGUUAAAGAAGAACAUAUCUGAGAGUAACUGUUCAGGUAUUGACGGUAUUUAACCAGAAAGCCACGGCUAACUACGUGCCAGCAGCCGCGGUAAUACGUAGGUGGCAAGCGUUGUCCGGAUUUAUUGGGGCGUAAAGCGAGCGCAGGCGGUUUUUAAGUCUGAUGUGAAAGCCUUCGGCUCAACCGAAGAAGUGCAUCGGAAACUGGGGAAACUUGAGUGCAGAAGAGGACAGUGGAACUCCAUGUGUAGCGGUGAAAUGCGUAGAUAUAUGGAAGAACACCAGUGGCGAAGGCGGCUGUCUGGUCUGUAACUGACGCUGAGGCUCGAAAGUAUGGGUAGCAAACAGGAUUAGAUACCCUGGUAGGAUAGCG